AACGCACAUUGCGCCCUUUGGUAUUCCGAGGGGCAUGCCUGUUCGAGCGUCAUUUCAAACCUCAAGUUCUGCUUGGUAUUGGGUCCGGUUCCCUUCGGGCGGCCGACCUGAAAGUCAGCGGCGAGGCUGUCUAGCUUCAGGCGUAGUAGAACCUUUCGUCUCGCCUUGCGAGUUGAGGCUGCGCUCGCCGGAUAACCUUCAUCCAAAAGGUUGACCUCGGAUCAGGUAGGGAUACCCGCUGAACUUAA
This 248-nucleotide unclassified non-coding RNA is filed under the name uncultured Botryosphaeriales. Its description in RNAcentral is "sequence contains 5.8S rRNA gene, ITS2, 28S rRNA gene". The record is from RNAcentral. Lineage: Eukaryota; Fungi; Ascomycota; Dothideomycetes; Botryosphaeriales.